CGGGAGCAGCUCAAAUACUAAGAUUAUACCUGAAAAAAAUCGUAAUUUAAAAUAAGUGGUUAACAUUUGCGUACCAAAGAAAAAUUAAGAUGUUAUUGCAAUCGUUGACUUAUUUGGAUAGCCUUCAUGAGAAACUAAAUUAAUUUACAUAUUAACGAGGGCCAAUUGAUAUUUUGCGAGAUUCCGACGCAAUCGUCCUCUUUCCUCCGGAAAAAACAAUCGUUAUGGCGUUAUAUUAGAGAACAACGCGAGGAACAUCAUUUUUCCUGUUUCUGUCUCAGCACUUAGGUUGCCUGGCCACCUGCAACUUACUUCUAGGUUUCAGUUAAACAAGAGGAAUCAUGAGGUACCCAGUGACUCGGGAGCUUGCUACUUGGGGAUGUGUAGUGGUCGUCUAACCCAUGU
This is a long non-coding RNA of Helianthus annuus (common sunflower), 405 nucleotides long. RefSeq lists it as uncharacterized. The record is from RefSeq and is a predicted model, not a curated record. NCBI's taxonomy places the organism in Eukaryota, Viridiplantae, Streptophyta, Magnoliopsida, Asterales, Asteraceae. The transcript is spliced from 3 exons.